This 4250-nucleotide long non-coding RNA is filed under the name Mytilus galloprovincialis (Mediterranean mussel). The record is from RNAcentral. Lineage: Eukaryota; Metazoa; Mollusca; Bivalvia; Mytilida; Mytilidae.
AAAAACAUUCUUCCAGAACAAUUGUCAUUUUGAAAUAUAACCCUUACAUGCUUUUUAAUUUUUAAAAAGAAUAAAUUUCAAAUGAUUAAGAUGAUAUGUAUUUCUGAAACACUACAGGAUCUUCAAAUUGAUGAACUAAAAUUAUGCUGUGUAAUCGUGAGUAGGUUAGUCAUACAUAAUGUGGGAAAUGUGCUUAAAUUAAUUGUCAAAAGUAUUUAGUCGUUUAGGUUCUCACUAUAUCCAUUCAAAUCUAAGGAGUGUUAAAACAUCUUUGCUUUUAGAAUACUGUGAAUUCAUUAGUAUUCAUUGGAUACCAAUUUUCGAGGAUUUCUUGGGUACAAUUGAACCACAAUAACACUUUCAUGGAAUGACACAUUUUCUGAAGACUUUUAUGCAGACUUCAAUUAAACCACGAAUAAAUAUCCACGAACAUGCAAGCUUUCCUUCAUCAACGAAAAUUGGUACACAAGAAAUAUGAAUGAAUACACAGUACUUUUAUUCAGUUAUCACCUACCUGUCUGGUUCAAAAUAUUUUUGCAUUGUAUUUCAUUAUUGUGCAUUAUCAUUUGCCAUUGUUAUGAAUAAUUUGUGAUAUGUUCAAGUGCUACUUAUACAGUUAAGUUUUAUUUUAAAAUUUUAUUUCUAAUGAUUUGUAUUUCAACGAAUUGCUCAAUCUCUCAUUUAUUGUCUUCAUUUCUUGCAUAAUUUUAAUUUUAUUUAUAUGUAAGUCAGUAAGAUAAAGUGUAGUUUGUCAAAUAGUUAAACGAUUUAAGUGCUAAUUUAUUGUAAACAAAAGGGCACCAAUGAAGAAGCAACCCAAUGAAACACAAACCAUAUCUACUAACAGUCAUCUUUAAGUCUUCAACAAUAGAUAACCAUAUGUCAGGCUCUAAAUUGCCUGAAAUUUUAACAAAUUGUGCAUGAAAUGAAGAGAUGCUGCUUCAGUUCUGCCAUCAACACUAGAUUCAUAUAAGGACUAAAAUCAUUAAGACAUGACAAAAAGUAAAAUCACAAAAAUACUAAAACUUCCGAGAAAAUUUACAAAACAGAAAGUCUGUAAUCAAGUGGCAAAAUCAAAAGCUCAAAACACAUCAAAUGAAUGGAUAACAACUGCCAUAUUCCUGACAUGGUACAGAUAGAAUACCUCUAGAAAUACUUUGUUAGAAAAAUUUGGUCUCUAAAUUAUGAAGAGCAGUAGAAGAAACCAAAGUAAAAUUCAGAAAGAACAAAAUGUAUAGGACAAAAUUGAUUUUUGAAAAUUGAAAUUAGCAUGCAAUUUAAUUGAGAUUUUUGUAUUUAUUAUAAAGGAUCUGUAAAAAUGAACAAAUCAAUGUAUGAUGAUUGAACCACAUAUAUGAAUUUUUCUUAUUUUUUUAGGAAUAAAUUUCUAAUUGUAAAAGCUGGUAUUUAUAUGUUUUAAAUUUUUUCACACAAAAAAAUUCUGAUCUAAUUGAUGUUAAGGCAGCUUAUUGUCUAUAACAUUCCCUUGUAAAUAUGCAGCAUGUAUUAAAGUAUGAGAUUUUAAAUAUUACAGAACAAAUUUAAAGGUAUUGACAUUUCUUGAAUGUUCAUCCAGAUGCAGUUUUCAUUUUAUGUAUAUUGGCCAUAAUCACUAAUUUUAAUUUUUUUUCAUUGAACUUUUCAUGGCACUGAAACCACUUUUGUUUAGAUUUUUUUAAGGAAGUCAAAUUUGUCUCUAUUCACUAAUAUGAUUUUACAAUCAUCAAUAUGUGUUCAGAAUAAGUUUUGUAUGUAGCACUGUAUAUGUUAAAUGUUUGUACUUGUUUUAAUUUUGACUUCCAAACCAUAUUUAUUAUUUUAUAGAUAAAAAGCUUUCAGGAAGAUUUUAGUUUCCAUGCUAUGUGUGGUUUUAAACCAAAUACAUUAGUUGUGUGUCUUUUCCUGUUUUAAAUGCCUUACGCAAAAAAACAUUCUCAAAAUAACUAUGUGAUUUUCUAACAUUGAUGCAUACAGAUUUUUUAAUAAGAAAAAAUGUUUGGAUUUUUUUUUUGCAUGAAUGAAUUUCAGCAUUUGGAGAGAUAUAAGGUUGAAACUCUAAUUCCAACAACAUCCAAUAUGUGAUACCUUCCGUCCAAUAGCAAGAAUUUAGGUGUUCACAUAAAUAGUACAUUUUACAGAAAAUUCUAAUUAUAUAAUUGAUGUAGUUGUAUUUAAACUAAUUCAGGAAGGCUGUACUGUUCUCUUAAUGUCUAGAUCUGUUUAUUGAAUUUUUGAUUAUAUCACCAUAUUAAAGAGUCCAUAUUAAGACGCCAGAUUUAAAUACAAAGGAAAUUUUUUAACCUAUUUUAACUUGUUUCAAAAUUUGAUCAAAUAUUAGUAAUUUGUUUUGUAUAUUUGUUAAAUCUCAAUUCUCAUAUUGUCAAAACAAUAUAUAUAUAAUCAGGAUAAUUUAUGGCAAGGGAAAUACUAACUGAAAUGUUAAUGAUAGAGGGUCUUCUAAGUGCAUAUUAUUUGAGUUACGAUUCAAUGGUAACUGAUCUUAUAUAUUAAAUUUUGUAUAUAGCACUGAUUUCUUCCAAUAUCUUAGUCCUUUAGGGCAUGUGAGCUCUUGCUAAUACUGGCUUAUGGUGUAUAAAGGUAUAUGAAUUUGACAUAUUAUCUUUCUUAUCUUAUUCAAACUUUGCAGGAAUCAUGAAUGAAAAGACUUCUGCAAAUAAUAAUAUGAACAAAUUACCAUGCACCUGAUGGAACAUAGUUCCCAUUGAUAUCCCUAUGAAACAUGCAUGUUUUUUUAUUUAAUAAAUGACAUAACUGAAAAUUAGUUAUCUCUUUACACUGCAUUGUCAAACUUUGUAAACACAACUUAAUAAUUAAAUUAUAUAUAACCUGACAGUUAUAUGUCAAUAAUAUGAAGAAUAACUUGUGCACAAUAAUCUUAAAUAUUAUGGUUUCUAUUGAAACUUUAUGAAAAAGCACAAUUUGGUCUCCCUCUUUGUAACUCUUUUGCCAAUUCUAAUCAAACAUGAUAGGAAUAAUGUAAGGAAGGUGAUCUGAUGCAAUGACAAAAUUAUGCCAACAAAAGCAAUCUUUAAUUCUUUUUAGCCAAUACAAAAAAAAUUUUAAAAAAUCAGAAAUCUGAACUGUUGCAAAUAUGCUGAAGUCAAAUUUGACACAACUUUUCCGAAUUUUUGGUUUUAAUGCUCAUCAGAUUCAUAAAUGGUUUGAUUCAAGCACUGCUGGUGAGUCUUUUGUAGACGAAAUUUCAGCCUGGUAUCUAUGAUGAGUUAUUGAAACCCAAUUGAACUAAUUACUGAAAGACCUUUUACAAAACUUCCUCAUUUAAGGUAGCACAAUACAUAGAUUUUAUAACUCCAACUCCCAAGUUCUAAAUAAUGCUUGAAAAUUUAUAAAAGUGGUAGUUUUGGAUAGCUAACAGAUUACACUUUCAAUUUAAUGCAAUGUUAGUAUUAUGCAACAAUUAUGUAACCAAUUAUAAUGUUAACUGAGUCUAAAAUAUUUUUCACCAAAUUUCCACUUUCAAAUGAAAUUAACUGCAUAUGUAUCCCUAGAGGGUUGAUUUUAUUAUAUGUUGUUCCCAUGGCCAUUAUCUACAAAAGAGUGUCUCAGAUUUCAGAUAGAAUGUAUAGAACAAAUUUUACACCUAAUUAAACAUUGUCUUCUUUUAUGUGGUUAGGAUGUUUACACUAAUUAGAGAUUUAUGAGAGAAUGGAGCACCAAAGAGACAAUCUGAGACACCCUUUUGAAGCCCAUGAUGUGUUGAUUAAGAUUUCGUUAAAAUUUACUGUAUAGUUAAAGAGAUGAUAGAGCUAAAUUCAUUCAAGUGAACUUACCCAGAUUUUGCCACUAAUUACAUAAUAAUAGAUUGCAUAAUGAUUGCAUAAUAAAAAUAUUGCAUUCAUUUAAAAGAUUGAUCUUUUAUCUAUCCAUAUAUACCUCUUUUAUUAUUUUCUAUGCAUUCAUAAGAAAGUUACAGCAUUUCAAAGAUUAGUGAUUGGAAGUAAAAAAUCUUUGUAUUGUGCUACCUUAAUGUUAACAAGUAAUGGAGGACAAACGAGGAAGCAUUGGUGACACAUAGCUGUAAUUUUAUCUUCCUCUUAGAAUUAUGGAAAGGACGUUUUAUUUUCCUUUGGGAAAGUAUAACAUUUUACCAUAGUGCUCUUACGUACAAUUAAUACAAAAAGCUUGUAAUCAUUACUAAGAAAUUUUGUUUUAAUGUUUUUUUGAUGCAUUGUGUUAUAUUAUGCAAAUGUUAGUUAUUUUGAAAUAAA